AGGAGAUCGUUUUGUUACAAUCCAGGACUUGAACUGAUGGCUUCACACACAUCGGUCCAUCUUCGACAUCCUAAACAUGGCCAUCGGAGAGAAAACUAAUGAACACCUUACAGUAUUCCAGAAGACUGUAUACAAGCGUAGCAGAGGCCAAAAGAUUCAAAACAGAAACCAAACCAUGGGACAAGGAAAAUAUGGGAGAUACACAGCAGGCUGGACG
Molecule: long non-coding RNA, 217 nt
Organism: Pseudophryne corroboree (corroboree frog)
Lineage: Eukaryota; Metazoa; Chordata; Amphibia; Anura; Myobatrachidae
Exons: 3
Source: RefSeq, a predicted model, not a curated record